This 548-nucleotide ribosomal RNA is filed under the name uncultured bacterium. RNAcentral's name for it is "bacterial SSU rRNA". It matches the Rfam family "Bacterial small subunit ribosomal RNA", at positions 355 to 896 of the family's 1533-position model. The record is from RNAcentral.
UGGGGAAUUUUGGACAAUGGGGGCAACCCUGAUCCAGCAAUGCCGCGUGUGUGAAGAAGGCCUUCGGGUUGUAAAGCACUUUUGUCCGGAAAGAAAUCCCUUGCCCUAAUACGGCGGGGGGAUGACGGUACCGGAAGAAUAAGCACCGGCUAACUACGUGCCAGCAGCCGCGGUAAUACGUAGGGUGCGAGCGUUAAUCGGAAUUACUGGGCGUAAAGCGUGCGCAGGCGGUUUUGUAAGACAGGCGUGAAAUCCCCGAGCUCAACUUGGGAAUGGCGCUUGUGACUGCAAGGCUAGGGUAUGUCAGAGGGGGGUAGAAUUCCACGUGUAGCAGUGAAAUGCGUAGAGAUGUGGAGGAAUACCGAUGGCGAAGGCAGCCCCCUGGGACGUCACUGACGCUCAUGCACGAAAGCGUGGGGAGCAAACAGGGUUAGAUACCCUGGUAGUCCACGCCCUAAACGAUGUCAACUAGUUGUUGGGGAUUCAUUUCUUCAGUAACGUAGCUAACGCGUGAAGUUGACCGCCUGGGGAGUACGGUCGCAAGAUUA